AGCAGCCGCGGUAAUUCCAGCUCCAAUAGCGUAUAUUAAAGUUGUUGCAGUUAAAAAGCUCGUAGUUGAAUUUCGAGACCGGCUUACUGGUCGUGCUAUUGUACGUACUGGUAUAAUCGGUUUCUCCUUUCUGACGAACUAUAAUGCCAUUAAUUUGGUGUUUUAGGGAAUCAGGACUGUUACUUUGAAAAAAUUAGAGUGUUUAAAGCAGGCUCACGCUUGAAUACAUUAGCAUGGAAUAACGGAAUAGGACGUUUGAUUCUAUUUUGUUGGUUUCUAGGAUCGACGUAAUGAUUAAUAGGGAUAGUUGGGGGCAUUAGUAUUCAAUUGUCAGAGGCGAAAUUCUUGGAUUUAUUGAAGACUAACUACUGCGAAAGCAUUUGCCAAGGAUGUUUUCAUUAAUCAAGAACGAAAGUUAGGGGAUCGAAGACGAUCAGAUACCGUCGUAGUCUUAACCAUAAACUAUGCCGACUAGGGAUCGGAUGAUGUUAAUUUUUAAUGACUCAUU
RNAcentral lists this ribosomal RNA (508 nucleotides) under uncultured Glomus. RNAcentral describes it as "SSU rRNA". It matches the Rfam family "Eukaryotic small subunit ribosomal RNA", at positions 569 to 1080 of the family's 1831-position model. The record is from RNAcentral. Lineage: Eukaryota; Fungi; Glomeromycota; Glomeromycetes; Glomerales; Glomeraceae.